RNAcentral lists this ribosomal RNA (301 nucleotides) under uncultured bacterium. Its description in RNAcentral is "partial 16S ribosomal RNA". It matches the Rfam family "Bacterial small subunit ribosomal RNA", at positions 509 to 807 of the family's 1533-position model. The record is from RNAcentral.
CAGUCGCCGCGGUAAUACGGAGGGUGCAAGCGUUAAUCGGAAUUACUGGGCGUAAAGCGUGCGUAGGCGGUUCGUUAAGUCUGUUGUGAAAGCCCCGGGCUCAACCUGGGAAUGGCAAUGGAUACUGGCGAGCUAGAGUGUGUCAGUGGAUGGUGGAAUUCCCGGUGUAGCGGUGAAAUGCGUAGAGAUCGGGAGGAACAUCAGUGGCGAAGGCGGCCAUCUGGGACAACACUGACGCUGAAGCACGAAAGCGUGGGGAGCAAACAGGAUUAGAGACCCCCGUAGUCCCUGUCUCUUAUAC